RNAcentral lists this ribosomal RNA (464 nucleotides) under uncultured bacterium. Its description in RNAcentral is "partial 16S ribosomal RNA". It matches the Rfam family "Bacterial small subunit ribosomal RNA", at positions 339 to 795 of the family's 1533-position model. The record is from RNAcentral.
CUACGGGGGGCAGCAGUGGGGAAUAUUGCACAAUGGGCGCAAGCCUGAUGCAGCCAUGCCGCGUGUAUGAAGAAGGCCUUCGGGUUGUAAAGUACUUUCAGCGGGGAGGAAGGGAGUAAAGUUAAUACCUUUGCUCAUUGACGUUACCCGCAGAAGAAGCACCGGCUAACUCCGUGCCAGCAGCCGCGGUAAUACGGAGGGUGCAAGCGGUAAUCGGAAUUACUGGGCGUAAAGCGCACGCAGGCGGUUUGUUAAGUCAGAUGUGAAAUCCCCGGGCUCAACCUGGGAACUGCAUCUGAUACUGGCAAGCUUGAGUCUCAUAGAGGGGGGUAGAAUUACAGGUGUAGCGGUGAAAUGCGUAGAGAUCUGGAGGAAUACCGGUGGCGAAGGCGGCCCCCUGGACGAAGACUGACGCUCAGGUGCGAAAGCGUGGGGAGCAAACAGGAUUAGAUACCCCCGUAGUC